Molecule: transfer RNA, 60 nt
Filed under: Dehalococcoidia bacterium
Lineage: Bacteria; Bacillati; Chloroflexota; Dehalococcoidia
Description: tRNA-Trp
Rfam family: tRNA
About the family: Transfer RNA (tRNA) molecules are approximately 80 nucleotides in length. Their secondary structure includes four short double-helical elements and three loops (D, anti-codon, and T loops).
Source: RNAcentral
GUAGCUCAGUUGGUAGAGCAGUGGUCUCCAAAACCACCGGUCGAGGGUUCGAAUCCUUCC